UACGUAGGGUGCAAGCGUUGUCCGGAAUUAUUGGGCGUAAAGAGCUCGUAGGCGGUUUGUUGCGUCGGCUGUGAAAUCCCGAGGCUCAACCUUGGGCUUGCAGUGGGUACGGGCAGACUAGAGUGCGGUAGGGGUGACUGGAAUUCCUGGUGUAGCGGUGGAAUGCGCAGAUAUCAGGAGGAACACCGGUGGCGAAGGCGGGUCUCUGGGCCGUAACUGACGCUGAGGAGCGAAAGCAUGGGGAGCGAACAGG
This 253-nucleotide ribosomal RNA is filed under the name uncultured bacterium. RNAcentral describes it as "partial 16S ribosomal RNA". It matches the Rfam family "Bacterial small subunit ribosomal RNA", at positions 524 to 776 of the family's 1533-position model. The record is from RNAcentral.